GACGAACGCUGGCGGCGUGCUUAACACAUGCAAGUCGAACGGAAAGGCCCUGCGCUUGUUGCGUGCUCGAGUGGCGAACGGGGGUGUAACACGUGAGUAACCUGCCCUUGUCUUUGGGAUAACUCCACGAAACUGGGGCGAAUACCGGAGAGAAGCUCUUGCUGCAUGGUGGGGGUUGGAAAGUUUCGGCGGUGGGGGAUGGACUCGAGGCUUAUGAGCUUGUUGGUGGGGUAGUGGCAGACCAAGGCUUCGAGGGGUAGCCGGCGUGAGAGGGUGACCGGGCACAUUGGGACUGAGAUAGGCACCAGACUGCUACCGUCGGCAGCAGGGGGGAAUCUUGCACAACGGGCGGAAGUGUGAGGCAAAAACGCCGCGUGCGGGAAGACGUCUUACGGGUUGUGAACCGCUUUCGAAGGUACCGAAGCCUGAGUGACGGUAAUGGGUCAAGAAGCCACGGCUAACUACGUG
This 468-nucleotide ribosomal RNA is filed under the name uncultured bacterium. RNAcentral's name for it is "partial 16S ribosomal RNA". It matches the Rfam family "Bacterial small subunit ribosomal RNA", at positions 28 to 507 of the family's 1533-position model. The record is from RNAcentral.